This is a long non-coding RNA of Cydia amplana, 174 nucleotides long. RefSeq lists it as uncharacterized. NCBI's taxonomy places the organism in Eukaryota, Metazoa, Arthropoda, Insecta, Lepidoptera, Tortricidae. The record is from RefSeq and is a predicted model, not a curated record. The transcript has 2 exons.
AAGAGUGUGUGAGGCGAUGGAUGAUCGUCCGUCUUCAGUUAGUAUUUAAGAUUAUUGUUAUUGUAUAACACAACUUUAUGUUAACUAAUAAUCAUAUUGUAUGCAUUCCACAGUGCCUUAGUGUCUCACUGUAAUACUGUGUAAUAUGUUUGAAUAAAUAAAAAAAAAUAAAAA